UGAGGAAUAUUGGUCAAUGGGCGGGAGCCUGAACCAGCCAAGCCGCGUGAGGGAGGAAGGCCCUAUGGGUCGUAAACCUCUUUUGUCAGGGAACAAAAGCGAGUAUGUAUACUAGUCUGAGUGUACCUGAAGAAAAAGCAUCGGCUAACUCCGUGCCAGCAGCCGCGGUAAUACGGAGGAUGCGAGCGUUAUCCGGAUUUAUUGGGUUUAAAGGGUGCGUAGGCGGCGGUGCAAGUCAGCGGUAAAAGCCCGAGGCUCAACCCCGGCGAGCCGUUGAAACUGCAGUGCUAGAGAAGGCGAGAGGUACGCGGAAUGCGCAGUGUAGCGGUGAAAUGCUUAGAUAUUGCGCAGAACUCCGAUUGCGAAGGCAGCGUACUGGCGCCUGACUGACGCUGAGGCACGAAAGCGUGGGGAUCGAACAGGAUUAGAUACCC
Molecule: ribosomal RNA, 434 nt
Filed under: uncultured bacterium
Lineage: Bacteria
Description: bacterial SSU rRNA
Rfam family: Bacterial small subunit ribosomal RNA
Source: RNAcentral